CCUACGGGCUGCAGCAGUAGGGAAUCUUCGGCAAUGGACGAAAGUCUGACCGAGCAACGCCGCGUGUGUGAAGAAGGUUUUCGGAUCGUAAAACUCUGUUGUUAGAGAAGAACAAGUAGGAGAGUAACUGCUCUUACCUUGACGGUAUCUAACCAGAAAGCCACGGCUAACUACGUGCCAGCAGCCGCGGUAAUACGUAGGUGGCAAGCGUUGUCCGGAUUUAUUGGGCGUAAAGCGAGCGCAGGCGGUCUUUUAAGUCUGAUGUGAAAGCCCUCGGCUCAACCGAGGAAGGUCAUUGGAAACUGGAGGACUUGAGUGCAGAAGAGGAGAGUGGAAUUCCAUGUGUAGCGGUGAAAUGCGUAGAUAUAUGGAGGAACACCAGUGGCGAAGGCGACUCUCUGGUCUAUAACUGACGCUGAGGCUCGAAAGCGUGGGGAGCAAACAGGAUUAGAUACCCCUGUAGUC
Molecule: ribosomal RNA, 465 nt
Filed under: uncultured bacterium
Lineage: Bacteria
Description: bacterial SSU rRNA
Rfam family: Bacterial small subunit ribosomal RNA
Source: RNAcentral